UGGGGAAUUUUGGACAAUGGGCGCAAGCCUGAUCCAGCCAUGCCGCGUGCGGGAAGAAGGCCUUCGGGUUGUAAACCGCUUUUGUCAGGGAAGAAAUCUUCUGAGUUAAUACCUCGGGAGGAUGACGGUACCUGAAGAAUAAGCACCGGCUAACUACGUGCCAGCAGCCGCGGUAAUACGUAGGGUGCAAGCGUUAAUCGGAAUUACUGGGCGUAAAGCGUGCGCAGGCGGUUUUGUAAGACAGAGGUGAAAUCCCCGGGCUCAACCUGGGAACUGCCUUUGUGACUGCAAGGCUUGAGUGCGGCAGAGGGGGGAUGGAAUUCCGCGUGUAGCAGUGAAAUGCGUAGAUAUGCGGAGGAACACCGAUGGCGAAGGCAAUCCCCUGGGCCUGCACUGACGCUCAUGCACGAAAGCGUGGGGAGCAAACAGGAUUAGAUACCCUGGUAGUCCACGCCCUAAACGAUGUCAACUGGUUGUUGGGAAUGUUCCUUCUCAGUAACGUAGCUAACGCGUGAAGUUGACCGCCUGGGGAGUACGGCCGCAAGGUUGAAACUCAAAUGAAUUGACGGGGU
RNAcentral lists this ribosomal RNA (572 nucleotides) under uncultured bacterium. Its description in RNAcentral is "partial 16S ribosomal RNA". It matches the Rfam family "Bacterial small subunit ribosomal RNA", at positions 355 to 919 of the family's 1533-position model. The record is from RNAcentral.